AUUGAGCGCUGGCGGCAGGCCUAACACAUGCAAGUCGAGCGGAUGAAGGGAGCUUGCUCCUGGAUUCAGCGGCGGACGGGUGAGUAAUGCCUAGGAAUCUGCCUGGUAGUGGGGGAUAACGUCCGGAAACGGGCGCUAAUACCGCAUACGUCCUGAGGGAGAAAGUGGGGGAUCUUCGGACCUCACGCUAUCAGAUGAGCCUAGGUCGGAUUAGCUAGUUGGUGGGGUAAAGGCCUACCAAGGCGACGAUCCGUAACUGGUCUGAGAGGAUGAUCAGUCACACUGGAACUGAGACACGGUCCAGACUCCUACGGGAGGCAGCAGUGGGGAAUAUUGGACAAUGGGCGAAAGCCUGAUCCAGCCAUGCCGCGUGUGUGAAGAAGGUCUUCGGAUUGUAAAGCACUUUAAGUUGGGAGGAAGGGCAGUAAGUUAAUACCUUGCUGCUUUGACGUUACCAACAGAAUAAGCACCGGCUAACUUCGUG
RNAcentral lists this ribosomal RNA (484 nucleotides) under uncultured bacterium. Its description in RNAcentral is "partial 16S ribosomal RNA". It matches the Rfam family "Bacterial small subunit ribosomal RNA", at positions 30 to 507 of the family's 1533-position model. The record is from RNAcentral.